Molecule: ribosomal RNA, 425 nt
Filed under: Salmonella enterica subsp. enterica serovar Derby
Lineage: Bacteria; Pseudomonadati; Pseudomonadota; Gammaproteobacteria; Enterobacterales; Enterobacteriaceae
Also listed under: 2 other names
Description: partial 23S ribosomal RNA
Rfam family: Bacterial large subunit ribosomal RNA
Source: RNAcentral
AAUCCAUAGGUUAAUGAGGCGAACCGGGGGAACUGAAACAUCUAAGUACCCCGAGGAAAAGAAAUCAACCGAGAUUCCCCCAGUAGCGGCGAGCGAACGGGGAGGAGCCCAGAGCCUGAAUCAGCAUGUGUGUUAGUGGAAGCGUCUGGAAAGGCGCGCGAUACAGGGUGACAGCCCCGUACACAAAAGCGCAUGUGCUGUGAGCUCGAUGAGUAGGGCGGGACACGUGGUAUCCUGUCUGAAUAUGGGGGGACCAUCCUCCAAGGCUAAAUACUCCUGACUGACCGAUAGUGAACCAGUACCGUGAGGGAAAGGCGAAAAGAACCCCGGCGAGGGGAGUGAAAAAGAACCUGAAACCGUGUACGUACAAGCAGUGGGAGCACAGGUUUACCUGUGUGACUGCGUACCUUUUGUAUAAUGGGUCA